Molecule: long non-coding RNA, 519 nt
Organism: Daphnia carinata
Lineage: Eukaryota; Metazoa; Arthropoda; Branchiopoda; Diplostraca; Daphniidae
Exons: 3
Source: RefSeq, a predicted model, not a curated record
CAAGAAGUAUGGUUUCACCUGUCUCGUGGCAAGCAACAAUUGUCUUAAGGCCGUCGUUGAUUGCUAACUACCCAUUAUUUUAUUUGAAUUUUCACGAAUAAUGGCAGUGGAAAGCUGGAUGCCAAGAAAACGGUUGAUUUGCGAAUGGACUUUUCGAGAGUUGUGCGAAUAGGAGCAGUAAAAGAUUCUACUAAAGAAGAGAAAUACUUACAGUUUCAAAAUGAGUGGAUGCUGGUUUGUUAGUCAGUUGCUUUCUGCCAUGGAAGAAAAAAAAUUUGUUACAGCAAAACCUGUACGACCGCAACAGGAGAAACCAGGAAUUCAGACAACAUAGAAACAAUCUUCCAACAAGUGUUAUUUAGUUUAAAAUUGUUUGCAACCUAGCCAAUGUUCAUGUGUUCAACUGUGUCAAAGGUAAUCUAUCAUGCAUUCACAAAUUUGUUGAUUAUCUGUUAGUAACAUAGUGAUCGCAAAACUUUAGCUCUCUGUGGAGUCUAUUAUUAAAAUUUUUCAUUUCAA